UCUCUUAGUUCUAGUAGUGUUCGUUCUACUUGCCUCUAUCCAUUCAGGCUCAUGAUCAGUUUUUGGAGCUGUAAAUUCUUGUGGAUCAGCUAGAUCCCUCUCCAGACUUUGAUUCUUACACAUAUAGGUGGCCUAAGCAGCUCUUGCAAUUAUGGAUCAUAUUGAUAUUCCCUCCACCUUUAAUUGGAUUUGGGCUUCUUGUCAGCUAAAGCACAAAGUUCCAUCUGUUAAAAAUGAGAGUUAUGCUUCAGGAAAAGAGAAAAAAAAAAACAGUUCCAUCGGCCCUCCUUUAUAUGAGUGUGUGCUUUGCAAUCAGCUUCAGGUGGAAUCUAAAGAUUCAGCGCAUCAAGCAAGAGAGCUUAAGGUUCCCUUUCAUACAACGAUCUCCGGUCUGGUUACUUGGAGCAUUUGAAAGAUCGGGACUGACUGCAUAUUCAACAAUACGUGGCACAAUUUGUACAUGUGCAGGAAAAUCUUUAAGGAUGAGUUCAAUUUGGUUUUCCACAGAGCCAAAAGAACGAAAUAUGGAGGCUUCAUGUGUGUUCAAAGCCACAUGAGCAGGAUCUCACUGCCCAAACACCCUGGAAUUGAUCCACCAUUUCAGUUUUCCUUGUAGGCCACAACCAGUUAACAAUUGCGCGCAGGCGCGUCAUACCUCCCAAAUGAGUUUAGGUAGAGAAGGAUCAGUUACCGAAUUGUAUAUACGCAGAGAGAUUAAUUUAGCAUUUUUUUAAGAAAGUACAUUUUUUGUUUGAACUUAUAGGGAAGUUCAUUUUUCUCUCUAGUUGUUUUGUUUGAUCAAAACUAAUCCUAGGAAUUUCAAAUCAGUCCGACACCUAGUUUUGGUGGUUUUAGUGCUGACACGUCAACACCAGGUGGCGGUAUCUGCCACCUAAAGAAACACAAUUCACGUUGAUGAUUGCAUCAAGGACGGAAACAUAACCGUUAAACACAAACCCAUGCACAUAGUUAGUUAGUUACACAACGUCUUCAGAAUACUGGGUGUCACUAGUCUCGAGAUUUACCAAGUCACCAAUCAUGUCUUGCUAUCUAAGGAUACGUCGCUGCCACAAGGAUUCUACCAAGACACACAUGACGACAAACCCAGUUUUGAUCCCUAGCGAAAACCACUUCGGUGUUCCUCAAAAAAAAAAAAA
Molecule: long non-coding RNA, 1157 nt
Organism: Brachypodium distachyon (stiff brome)
Lineage: Eukaryota; Viridiplantae; Streptophyta; Magnoliopsida; Poales; Poaceae
Exons: 2
Source: RefSeq, a predicted model, not a curated record